Molecule: transfer RNA, 86 nt
Filed under: Rhodospirillales bacterium
Lineage: Bacteria; Pseudomonadati; Pseudomonadota; Alphaproteobacteria; Rhodospirillales
Description: tRNA-Leu
Rfam family: tRNA
About the family: Transfer RNA (tRNA) molecules are approximately 80 nucleotides in length.
Source: RNAcentral
GCGGGCGUGGUGGAAUUGGUAGACACGCAAGACUUAAAAUCUUGUUGCCUUUGGCAGUGCCGGUUCAAUUCCGGCCGCCCGCACCA